Long non-coding RNA from Arabidopsis thaliana (thale cress), 210 nucleotides. RefSeq annotates it as other RNA. The record is from RefSeq. Lineage: Eukaryota; Viridiplantae; Streptophyta; Magnoliopsida; Brassicales; Brassicaceae. The transcript has a single exon.
UGGGGCCUAAAGACUCACUUAACUGUUCUUUAUGGACCCAUUGUACUAUUCAGAAGAUUGAAUUGGGACUAAGAGAACAUAAACUAUUCUGAUUGAUUAAUUAAAAUAAGUAGUUGAUUAACAAGUAUUUCUCUCAAAUACAUGCAUGUCUUCACGUGGGCUGGUCGUAUCGUACCUACUUAAAUUUAAUAACAUUAUCAUUUAAGCAAA